UGGGCAAUGGUGGAGCCUUGGAUCUAAUGGAGAGAUAUAUAUAGCCUCGGGAUGGUCCAUAUCAUUUUCUAUGAGGCCGUCCUUAUCCUAACCUAGCAAUGGGUUCAAGGACUAGAUCCGGCCUCUUGCCCUUCUUCCCUACCACAUGUCCCAUAGUUGGUACAUCUUUCAAAAAAAAAUUAUGGAGAGGAUUAUGGAGAGAUAUGUGUAAAAGGUUGGGGAUAGCAGCAGGCCUCCACUUUGUC
This 245-nucleotide long non-coding RNA is filed under the name Elaeis guineensis (African oil palm). RNAcentral describes it as "long non-coding RNA (EGUI_LNC018146)". Lineage: Eukaryota; Viridiplantae; Streptophyta; Magnoliopsida; Arecales; Arecaceae. The record is from RNAcentral.